RNAcentral lists this ribosomal RNA (269 nucleotides) under uncultured prokaryote. Its description in RNAcentral is "partial 16S ribosomal RNA". It matches the Rfam family "Bacterial small subunit ribosomal RNA", at positions 524 to 792 of the family's 1533-position model. The record is from RNAcentral.
UACGUAGGUGGCAAGCGUUAUCCGGAAUUAUUGGGCGUAAAGAGCGCGCAGGUGGUUGAUUAAGUCUGAUGUGAAAGCCCACGGCUUAACCGUGGAGGGUCAUUGGAAACUGGUCGACUUGAGUGCAGAAGAGGGAAGUGGAAUUCCAUGUGUAGCGGUGAAAUGCGUAGAGAUUAGGAAGAACACCAGUGGCGAAGGCGGGUAACUGGACUGCAACUGACGCUGAGGCGCGAAAGUGUGGGGAGCAAACAGGAUUAGAUACCCGGGUA